RNAcentral lists this long non-coding RNA (598 nucleotides) under Pogona vitticeps (central bearded dragon). Its description in RNAcentral is "lncRNA (ENSPVIG00000016333.1)". Lineage: Eukaryota; Metazoa; Chordata; Lepidosauria; Squamata; Agamidae. The record is from RNAcentral.
CGGCUCCAGCCAGGGGUCAGCCCCGACAGGGAGCCCGCCAGGAAACCCCCGCCGCCGCCGCCGCCGCCGCCGCCGCCUCCACCGCCGCCACCACCCCCUCCGGUGAGCUGGAGAAACAGGAGCGGGGCUGGGCGCCCCCAAACUCUCCCGCCACCUCCUCCUCGGGGACUGGUGGCGCCCCGGAUGGAGGCUUCCCUGGCUACCUCACCAGCACCCAGGACAAGAUCCGGAGCGGUGGCAGAUCAACACCUGCUGUCCAUGGCCACUCAGCGCCCUUCGAGUACGGCAGCAGCAUCCGGCGGGCAGAAAGCAGGGUCAAGCUCAACUCUGCCAACUUCACUGCCUCCCAAGGGCCAGGUCUGGACACAGACUUUGGAGCUAGCGCCGGUGUCUCGGUGAGAAUCUUGUCCUCCGACAGCGAGGAAAGCCCCCAAACCCCCCUGUUGCAUCGCCAGCGGUCGGGACGACUGGAGUGGGACUACUAUGACCCCAGCUACCAGACAGCAGCUCCGCUCCACCAUCAGCUGCCCCCCAUCGGCAGCAAACAAUACUGGCUGUAGCACAAGGGCAGCCACGGUCUGAGGGGUGGUGGCGAGAG